RNAcentral lists this ribosomal RNA (497 nucleotides) under uncultured bacterium. Its description in RNAcentral is "partial 16S ribosomal RNA". It matches the Rfam family "Bacterial small subunit ribosomal RNA", at positions 28 to 507 of the family's 1533-position model. The record is from RNAcentral.
GAUGAACGCUGGCGGCGUGCCUAAUACAUGCAAGUCGAGCGAACAGAUGAGGAGCUUGCUCCUCUGACGUUAGCGGCGGACGGGUGAGUAACACGUGGAUAACCUACCUAUAAGACUGGGAUAACUUCGGGAAACCGGAGCUAAUACCGGAUAAUAUAUUGAACCGCAUGGUUCAAUAGUGAAAGACGGUUUUGCUGUCACUUAUAGAUGGAUCCGCGCCGCAUUAGCUAGUUGGUAAGGUAACGGCUUACCAAGGCAACGAUGCGUAGCCGACCUGAGAGGGUGAUCGGACAGACUGGAACUGAGAAACGGUCCAGACUCCGACGGGAGGCAGCAGUAGGGAAUCUUCCGCAAGGGGCGAAAGCCUGACGGAGCAACACCGCGGGAGUGAUGAAGGUCUUCGGAUCGUAAAGCUCUGUUAUUAGGGAAGAACAAAUGUGUAAGUAACUAUGCACGUCUUGACGGUACCUAAUCAGAAAGCCACGGCUAACUACGUG